UCGGGGCGAAGUAGCUGAUUUCACACUGUCAAGAAAAGCUUCUAUCGAGUUUAAAGGCGCCCGUACCGUAAACCGACACAGGUGGGUGAGGAGAGUAUCCUAAGGCCAGCGAGAGAACUAUUGUUAAGGAACUCGGCAAAAUGACCCCGUAACUUAGGGAGAAGGGGUGCCUGUCUAUGACAGGCCGCAGAGAAUAGGCCCAAGCGACUGUUUACCAAAAACACAGGUUUCUGCUAAGUCGCAAGACGAUGUAUAGGAGCUGACGCCUGCCCGGUGCUGGAAGGUUAAGGGGAUCUGUUAGAGCAAUCGAAGCAGUGAACUUAAGCCCCAGUAAACGGCGGCCGUAACAAUAACGGUCCUAAGGUAGCGAAAUUCCUUGUCGGGUAAGUUCCGACCCGCACGAAAGGCGUAACGAUUUGGGCACUGUCUCAACAAUAGACUCGGUGAAAUUGUAAUCCCGGUGAAGAUGCCGGGUACCUGCGACAGGACGGAAAGACCCCAUGGAGCUUUACUGUAGCUUGACGUUGGGUCUUGGUACUACAUGUACAGGAUAGGUGGGAGACUAUGAAGCAUGGACGCCAGUCUGUGUGGAGUUAUCCUUGGGAUACCACCCUUGUAGUACUGGGAUCCUAACCAUAGGCCUUGAAUCAGGUCUUGGAACACCGUCAGGUGGGCAGUUUGACUGGGGCGGUCGCCUCCUAAAAAGUAACGGAGGCGCUCAAAGGUUUCCUUAGCACGGUCGGAAAUCGUGCGAAGAGUGUAAAGGCAAAAGGAAGCUUGAUUGCAAGACAUACAGGUCGAGCAAGGACGAAAGUCGGACUUAGUGAUCCGGUGGUACCGCAUGGAAGGGCCAUCGCUCAACGGAUAAAAGCUACCCUGGGGAUAACAGGCUUAUCUCCCCCAAGAGUCCACAUCGACGGGGAGGUUUGGCACCUCGAUGUCGGCUCAUCACAUCCUGGGGCUGUAGUAGGUCCCAAGGGUUGGGCUGUUCGCCCAUUAAAGUGGUACGCGAGCUGGGUUCAGAACGUCGUGAGACAGUUCGGUCCCUAUCCGUCGCAGGCGUAGGAAAUUUGAGAAGACCUGUCCUUAGUACGAGAGGACCGGGAUGGACGUACCUCUGGUGUACCAGUUGUUCUGCCAAGGGCAUGGCUGGGUAGCUAUGUACGGAAUGGAUAAGCGCUGAAAGCAUCUAAGCGCGAAGCCAACUUCAAGAUAAGAUUUCCCACCGUAAGGGUAAGACCCCAGGAAGACUACCUGGUUGAUAGGUCGAAGGUGUAAGUGCAGUAAUGUAUUUAGCUUAUCGAUACUAAUAGGUCGAGGACUUGAUC
Molecule: ribosomal RNA, 1328 nt
Filed under: metagenome
Description: bacterial LSU rRNA
Rfam family: Bacterial large subunit ribosomal RNA
Source: RNAcentral